Carassius gibelio (silver crucian carp) is the source of this 5601-nucleotide RNA transcript. RefSeq lists it as uncharacterized. NCBI's taxonomy places the organism in Eukaryota, Metazoa, Chordata, Actinopteri, Cypriniformes, Cyprinidae. The record is from RefSeq and is a predicted model, not a curated record. The transcript has 4 exons.
UUAAAAAAAAAUCUGUUGACGUAUCAUCCAACGUAAUUUAAAAGUUAAUUGGCAACAGGUGAAUACAAUUACAAUGGCUAAUCACAUACGUUUUGAAAUCUUAUUCUUAAUGUUUGACGCAAGUUGCAUUAAAAAGUAUAAAUAGGUUUCAGAAUUGUGUUGUUGUUUUAGAACGUUGCUUUCACGAUCAUUUAAGAGCACUUAUAUACAUGGACAACGGAUUUCAUCUUAUGAGGUGUGUUACCUUUAACCAUAUGGAUGAUGAUGUAUUUGUGCAAAUUUUGUGAUUGCUCUCUGAAGACAGUUAAGGGAUAUGUUAAUCAUCAAAUCGUACACAGACAUGAAGCAAAUGCUCAGUUUCCAUGUUGCUUCCCAGAAUGCAAAUGUAAAUUCUCAAAAUACAAUGCUCUCAAAGCUCAUGUUUAUCGCCAUCACAAAAGACCACAUACUCAUUUUGAUGAUUCGACGGGCACGUUUGUUUGCAACAAUACAGACUGUCAACAACAAUUUACAGACAUGAACAAUGUCCUUUCUCAUCUCAGGUCACAUUUAGCCAAGGGAGAGGUGGUGUGUUGUCCUUUUGAAAAAUGUGACAAAAAAUUCAGUUUAAGAUCAAGUUUCACUGCCCAUGUUUCACGAAAGCACAGGACUUCUACAUUUGCACAAUUACGGAUUAUGGAUACUUUAUCUGAGCAACCUUCUUCAGCAUUUUUUGAUGUUACUGAGGAGGAGGUUGAUGAAAGUGAAUUCACAGACUCCCUGACGAAAUGUAACGCAAAGUCAUUGUACAUGAAAAAUCUCUGCCUGUUUUAUAUGCAGCUACAAGCAAAAUACCUGGUGCCAUCGUCAACCAUUCAGAUGAUUGUGGAGGAAUUCAGUGGUUUAAAUUAUAUCUGUUAUCAGUACACACAGAAGAUGUUCAGGGAAAUACUCAAGUCAAAAACGGCCCUCUCACAAUGUGAGAUUGAAUCUGUGGUGCAGACUUUGCAAGGCCAAGAUUUACAUUCAGCUUGUAAUUCAUUACUUUCCACAGAAUACCAAAGAAGACAGUAUUAUCAGAAAAAUUUUUCGUACGUGCAACCACAAAGUAUGUGUCUUGGUCGUGAUGAGAACCGAAACCAACGUUAUGCACAGUAUAUUCCAUUGAAGAACACUUUAAAAACCAUGUUAAUAGACCCAGUGGUGUGGGAGCAGUGUGCCAGACAUCAGCAUGUACACUCUUCUGUGUUCUCUGACAUCUGUGAUGGCUCUGUAUUCAAAUCCAAUGACUUGUUUAAGCAGCCUGAGAUUACACUCCAACUUAUCUUGUACCAGGAUGCCUUUGAGAUUGUGAAUCCCCUUGGGUCAGCUAAAAAAAGACACAAAAUGAUUGGAGUGUAUUUUACACUUGGCAACUUUGAGCCAUUUUACAGAUCAUGCAUUGAUAACAUUCAGUUAUCACUUUUGUGUUAUGAGAGAGACUUUAACUAUUUUGGUCAAACCAAGAUUUUUGCUAAGUUGUUGGCAGAUGUCAAAGAACUUGAAGAGCAUGGAUUUGUGACAUCUUCAGGUGACAUAGUACGUGCAACAAUAGUGACUAUUAUCGGUGAUAAUUUGGGGUCCCACUGCAUCGGUGGGUACUCACAGAACUUCAGUACUGCCAAGCAUUGCUGUAGGUAUUGCUUGGUAUCUCGCAGUGAACUUCAGAAUGUGUGUGUAGACUUUCCCAAUCGCACAGUUGAGUCCUAUAAGGCGGCAGUGGAAACUCUAAGGACGACCGAAGAAAAUGUUGUUAAUGGGUUGAAGUUUGACUCCAUUUUCAACUCUCUCAAGUAUUUUCAUGUUGCUCAGCCUGGCCUUCCCCCAUGCCUUGGCCACGAUUUGUUUGAAGGCGUUGUAGUUAUUGAUCUUGGCAUUUUCUUGGAAUACUUUGUAAAAAGGAAGUGGUUUUCAUAUACACAGCUGAACAGGAGACUUGCACAAUUCAAAUAUGUGGGUUCUGAUGCUGGUUCUGCCCCCUCCCAGAUAUGUGAAAAAGGCAGAAAGUUAGGUGGUCAAGCAGCUGAGAACUGGUGUCUCCUCAGAUUUCUUCCUGUCAUAAUUGGAGACCGAGUAGAGUCACAAGACCCUGUAUGGCAACUGACUGUUAAGUUGAAAGAACUGGUUGAGCUAGUGUGUGCUCCCAAGAUUACCACAGCACAGAUUGCAUAUCUCAAUGUCUUAAUACCAGAAUAUCUGGAAACAAGAAAGGAGCUGUUUCCUGGUGAAAAUUUGAAACCAAAACAUCAUUACAUGCUUCACUAUACGUCACUCAUUUUAAGUCUUGGACCUUUAAUUCGUUUGUGGUCAUUGAGAUUUGAAAGCAAACAUUCCUACUUCAAAAGAAGUGUGAGAAGAACACAGAACUUCAAAAAUGUAUGCAAGACAUUGUCACACAACCAUCAACUUCUUCAAGCAUAUCUUCACUCACGGUCCUUUUUUUCACCAAAGCUUAAAAGUGUUGACUUGGCCACAUACUCUCCUCAUUUGUACAGUGAUGCUGUGUGCAAAGCUGUUGAGACAAGCUUGCUUAAUGAACCAGACUUUGUUUCCACACGUGUAGAAUACAAGGGUACCCUGUACAGGAAAGGAAACUUAAUUUGCCUUAAAUGUGAAGAGGAGUAUUCUAUUUUACAGUUUGGACAGAUUGAGCUGAUUUUCGUGAAAGAUGAUGAGGUGACUUUCCUUGUGACUCCCCGCCCCUCAGUGUAUUUGCAUGAUUAUGGACUUUAUGAGAUUUUGUCUGCGACAAAGGAAUUAAUUUGUGUAAAAGCUGAGGAAUGUCUGGAUUAUUAUCCCUUAAAUGAGUACAGUUUUAUGGGACUGAAGGUCAUUACUCUGAAGCACAGCGUUGUUCAUCUGUAAAAAGGAUAAACCGUCCUCUCCCAACAGAAAUGGAUGCAUUGUUGACUUUUAUUGAGAAUGUGUUCCCAAACCCUAUAACUUCAAAGCUAGCCAUAGAGGGUUUGAACAGACUAGGUGUGGAGACCAUAGAUGACCUACAGUUUUUGAAAGAUGAUGAUCUAGGUGGCUUUCUGAGACCGAUUGAAGCAAGAAAACUAAUAGCUCAAAUCCCAAGUAAGUUUUCAAAUCAAUGGUUGUUUUUACAUAUACACUAGUCAACAUUUGAAGCGGAUCAAAAAGUUCAUUAAGUUCACAAGAACAGGUAUUGGUUUUAAGACAACUAUUAUGAAAGGUUUGAUCCACUUGAAAUGUUGACUUGUGUACAUGCAUAUAAUUAGAUGAAACAACACCCCAGUCUCUUUCAUUCUGUACUUUGUUAGCUGUACUCUUUACUUGUAUUACAGUAUGUCAAUGUGUUUCUUGUUUCUGCAGUAUGGUUUUUAAUGCAGUUUUUUGUUUAUGCCAUGUAGAUAUUGCCUCCACUCUGCAAAACACUGCCAAUGAUUUGUCUGCUGAAUACAAUUCUAAUGCAUCAGGUUCACCUGCUCCUGGAUGCUCAGUUUCACCAUCCAGCUCUUCAAGUGGAAGACGUGACAGUAGCUGUGAAACUUCGUUUUAUGACCAUGACUGGCAUUAUAGUUUUGAUGUUCCAUGGCAAAAAAUGCCAGCAAGUUUUAUGGGAAAGUUGCAAAAUGGCGAAAGGCCAAGUUGCUCUGAGAGAAGACAGUUGGUCCGCAUUGUUGCUUCUGAGAUCCUGGAAGUCAGCAAAUGUCCAGCAAAAAAACAUGUAUCACAAAUAGCCCGACAAAUGGUGAUUGCAUACCCAAAGUCUUUCAGAGAUGAGAUUAAUUCCCAGGUUGUAGGAAGUGGAUAUGAUUCUCUCCUCAAACAACUGGUGUGUAGAAUUGACAAUUUGAAAAGAGCAAAAGCUAUUAGUAUACCACUUUGUGGUACUCUAGAAGUAUCAACAAAGAAACGAAAAUUGUUAUAUGGUUGUAUAAAUUCUGAUCCACAACUGCUAGUUGGAGAAACAUCCGAAUUGCAGCAGGAAAAGAAAGAGAAGUUGGUAGUAAUGUUUCAAAAUAAUGAAAGUGAUGUAAAGACAAUCUAUGACUUAAUGACUUCUACAUACACCCCUCAAAGAAACAGCAUCCAAUCUGGAAAGGAAACCAAAGAUUUACUUGAUGAGUGGCCAUAUCUUUUUCAGCCAGCAGGAAUGAAAGCACACUUUAAAGAGCUCACUGGCAUUGACAUAAACAACAGCUUUGAAGAAUCUGCUUCCAGUAAGUUCAGAAGAAUAUUGGACUACUUUCAAUUUCAGUGCACAGAAAGAGCAAGCAGAGCAGGGAGAAUCCUCACAAAGUAUAGAGCUGGAGGGGAUCAUGUUUGUGGGGCCGUGAUGUUGCUGCUAACCCAUUUCAAAAAUGACCAAGACCACUUUCUUGUGAUGGUAGAAGACACCUCUGUUCCAAGUGAUAUAUGCUCAGAACAGCUUCCAGCAACACCAUGUAUAGUAGUGUGUGGAGAGAACCCACUGACAGCCAGUGUGUACAUGGUAGCAGUAGACCAGAUGAUUGUAAAUGACCAUCUCUUGAGUUUUACAGAAGCCCUGUAUCUGAUGUUCUCUCUUUACUAUAUAUUGAACAUCAGUUACCCUGUAGAACUGGGAGCCACACUAGAAUUCUUGCAAAGGUGCAUCUUUAGGAUAAAUCCUCAUAAAGGUACCAAGGUGGAAAAGAGAGAGAAAAAGAGAGCGUACUCUGUCAACCCCAGAGUAUUGAGUCUGACAUCAAAAAUUGCUGCAUUUGAUUGGGGAGAGUAACCGGUAUAGAAGCUCUGUUGUCUUGUAUAGUAGUGGUAGACUACAUCUUCUGUGUUUAUCAUUCAUCGAUGAUAAAGUGGACCAAAGGACAAUCAUUUUUAGAAUUAACUCCAAUAAAUGUGAUUUAAUUGUCUGUGGCCAAAACUGAGAGUAUUUGGUUAAGGCUUGUUGCUGUCUCUGCUCUUCUUUUGGUUUGGGUUUUAAUUGUAACUGUUUGUGUCCCCACAGAUGUGGUCUUUCAGAAGAUUGACAUUUCGCUGAAGAACAGGACAGACCGACUUUUUGUACUUCAGUGCAGCGCUUUGUUGCUUAAAUCAUUUUUAUUACCUUGUGACGUGAUUAGGAUUUAGUUUAAAUUUAUUUAUUUAUUUGAUUGGGACAGUGCAUGUUAAUGAACAAACAUGGAAUACAUGCAUGUAAACAUGCUGGAUUGUAGCCAAAGGCUAAUUUCCAUCCGUAGUCCCACGGGCUAAAAUCACACUGGUCACAAAACAUUACAUAAUAAAAUUUACAUCUACAGUUAGUACAUCGUUUAUCAAUAAAUUAGCUAAAGCCCCAUAUACAAUAUUCACAUAAUACUUGAAAAUUCAUUCAACUUCAAAAUUAUCAGAAUCCAGGCCCAGUGUUUUUGUUUCUUUUAAACUGAACACAUUUGUGUUCUGAAACAUGCUUUAUCCAUUUUCUCCAUGUGACAUGUUCAGGAUUAUCAGAAUUAAUGUCGAUUAUUUUUUUUUUUAUAUUUAUUUUUUUUUUUUUUUUAUUGAACAAAUUUGUUUUCUAAAACAUGACUUUUGCUGGGAAGUGUUUUUCCAUUGUUUGAUCUUGAAGGUUUGCUAUAUAAUAAAAAGCUGAAGUUA